AUACGUAGGGGGCGAGCGUUGUCCGGAUUUACUGGGCGUAAAGGGUGAGUAGGCGGUUAUAUGUGUCAGAUGUAAAAGGCUAUGGCUUAACCAUAGUUAGCAUUUGAAACUGUAUGACUUGAGUGCAGGAGAGGUAAGUGGCAUUCCUAGUGUAGCGGUGAAAUGCGUAGAUAUUAGGAGGAACACCAGUGGCGAAGGCGACUUACUGGACUGUAACUGACGCUGAGUCACGAAAGCGUGGGUAGCAAACAUGAUUAGAUACCCUGGUAGUCCACGCUGUAAACGAUGAGUGCUAGGUGUUGGCCAGCGAUGGUCAGUGCCGCAGUAAACACAUUAAGCACUCCGCCUGGGGAGUACGGUCGCAAGACUGAAACUCAAAUGAAUUGACGGGG
RNAcentral lists this ribosomal RNA (392 nucleotides) under uncultured bacterium. RNAcentral's name for it is "partial 16S ribosomal RNA". It matches the Rfam family "Bacterial small subunit ribosomal RNA", at positions 523 to 918 of the family's 1533-position model. The record is from RNAcentral.